This 16-nucleotide small RNA is filed under the name Arabidopsis thaliana (thale cress). Its description in RNAcentral is "ATSL124960". Lineage: Eukaryota; Viridiplantae; Streptophyta; Magnoliopsida; Brassicales; Brassicaceae. The record is from RNAcentral.
CUUUUAUUUUAUUUUU